RNAcentral lists this ribosomal RNA (253 nucleotides) under uncultured bacterium. Its description in RNAcentral is "partial 16S ribosomal RNA". It matches the Rfam family "Bacterial small subunit ribosomal RNA", at positions 524 to 776 of the family's 1533-position model. The record is from RNAcentral.
UACGUAGGGUGCAAGCGUUAUUCGGAAUUACUGGGCGUAAAGCGUGCGCAGGCGGUUUUGUAAGUCUGACGUGAAAUCCCCGGGCUUAACCUGGGAAUUGCGUUGGAGACUGCAAGGCUAGAAUCUGGCAGAGGGGGGUAGAAUUCCACGUGUAGCAGUGAAAUGCGUAGAGAUGUGGAGGAACACCGAUGGCGAAGGCAGCCCCCUGGGCCUGCACUGACGCUCAUGCACGAAAGCGUGGGGAGCAAACAGG